CAUAUCCACCUUGUGUGCAAUGUCAGUCGAUCUUCUUCAUGGGAGAUCGACCAAACAUCAACCUUUAUCUUUUAACUCUUUGUCUGAAAAAUAUUAUGAAUAAACAAUUCAAAAUACAACUUUCAACAACGGAUCUCUUGGCUCUCGCAUCGAUGAAGAACGCAGCGAAAUGCGAUACGUAAUGUGAAUUGCAGAAUUCAGUGAAUCAUCGAAUCUUUGAACGCAUAUUGCGCUCUUUGGUAUUCCGAAGAGCAUGCUUGUUUGAGUAUCAGUAAACACCUCAAAGCUUUUGGAUUUUUUAAUCGAAAAGCUUUGGACUUGAGCAAUCCCAACACCAAUCUUUUUGAGAUCGGUGGCGGGUUGCUUGAAAUGCAGGUGCAGCUGGACAUUCUCCUGAGCUAAAAGCAUAUUCAUUUAGUCCCGUCAAACGGAUUAUUACUUUUGCUGCAGCUAACAUAAAGGGAGUUUGACCGUAUUGGCUGACUGAUGCAGGAUUUCACAAGGGUCGGCAACGAUUCUUGUUAAACUCGAUCUCAAAUCAAGUAAGACUACCCGCUGAACGUAUUCA
This 568-nucleotide ribosomal RNA is filed under the name Linnemannia elongata. Its description in RNAcentral is "eukaryotic LSU rRNA". The stretch from base 118 to 271 matches the Rfam family "5.8S ribosomal RNA". Lineage: Eukaryota; Fungi; Mortierellomycota; Mortierellomycetes; Mortierellales; Mortierellaceae. The record is from RNAcentral.